This 202-nucleotide long non-coding RNA is filed under the name Lathyrus oleraceus (garden pea). RNAcentral's name for it is "Pisum sativum (pea) long non-coding RNA (PSAT_LNC003221)". The record is from RNAcentral. Lineage: Eukaryota; Viridiplantae; Streptophyta; Magnoliopsida; Fabales; Fabaceae.
ACAAACAUUCAUUUCAUAAAACCCUUAUUCAAGGUAAAAAUAAUACAACUCAUCAAAGGUAAAAUCAACCAACACACGCACACACACACAUAUUUUCUACUCCAAACUACGGAGCUCUGAUUCCUCAUCCCCGAAUGAGUGAUAUGUAGGCACAAGGACCCCAAUCCUUGCCGAGCACUAUAAUAACAAAAACACCCUUUUU